CAUUGCUAGCCUCAUUGCUUCACUCGUUUUGGUCGCGAAAAGAGACACACUUGAAGAAAAUUCUGCUUUCCAAUUCUAAUUGAUCAUUUUGAACAAUGGAAGAUGUCGAAAUGGCUUCAAAUGUUGGGAAAAAACUUAGCCAUAAGGAACAAAAACAGAAAAUAUAUAAUGCUGAAGAAAUGCAGAAGUGGAAGAGAAACAAAUGUAAUCAGAAUAAUCGGAAUAAAAUCAGAAAAGCACAAACCCAGGAGAUUGAGAGGCUGAAGGCGCUCGAUAUUGGGUUGCAUGGGAGGAUGCAACAAUUAGAAAAUAGGAGGGAAGUGGUAAAGUUAAGAUGUUUUUUUAUUUUUAAACUACUAUUGACAUAUGUUUGCUUUCUGUCGUGUAGCUGCUCAACGAAGAAAAAGAGAACAUGGCGGCUGGAAAAGCGGCAGCUUCAAAGAAAAAGGUUGUGGUAGCACCCAGUGGGACCAAAAGGUUGCUGGAUGGCAAUUGUGAGGCAUCAUGUUCGAAACGCUACAGAGAGCAGUCGGAAAGUGAACUGGCAACGAAAUCCUUGGCAGAGUACGAGAAAGCCAAAGCGAACCUUGAAGCUCUGUUGAAAACGUGGGAGACGAAAUUGUCAAAGUUUACAUCAUCAGAGCUACCAGGCCUCUCAAAGGACGCUGUUGCCAUAAAGGAAGCUUUGAUUAUU
Daphnia pulicaria is the source of this 694-nucleotide long non-coding RNA. RefSeq lists it as uncharacterized. The record is from RefSeq and is a predicted model, not a curated record. NCBI's taxonomy places the organism in Eukaryota, Metazoa, Arthropoda, Branchiopoda, Diplostraca, Daphniidae. The transcript has 3 exons.